UAGUCCACGCCGUAAACGAUGGAUACUAGCUGUCCGGGUCCUUGAGACCUGGGCGGCCAAGCGAAAGUGAUAAGUAUCCCACCUGGGGAGUACGUUCGCAAGAAUGAAACUCAAAGGAAUUGACGGGGGCCCGCACAAGCGGUGGAGCAUGUGGUUUAAUUCGAUGAUACGCGAGGAACCUUACCAGGGCUUAAAUGCAUAUUGACAGGGGUAGAGAUACCUUUUCCUUCGGGCAAUUUGCAAGGUGCUGCAUGGUUGUCGUCAGCUCGUGCCGUGAGGUGUCAGGUUAAGUCCUAUAACGAGCGCAACCCCCAUCAUUAGUUGCCAGCGGAUAAUGCCGGGGACUCUAAUGAAACUGCCGGUGUAAACCGAGAGGAAGGUGGGGAUGACGUCAAAUCAUCACGGCCCUUACGUCCUGGGGCUACACACGUGCUACAAUGGGUAGGGGACAGAGAGCAGCCACUGCGUGAGCAGGGAGC
Molecule: ribosomal RNA, 479 nt
Filed under: uncultured bacterium
Lineage: Bacteria
Description: bacterial SSU rRNA
Rfam family: Bacterial small subunit ribosomal RNA
Source: RNAcentral